This 360-nucleotide unclassified non-coding RNA is filed under the name Hevea brasiliensis (rubber tree). Lineage: Eukaryota; Viridiplantae; Streptophyta; Magnoliopsida; Malpighiales; Euphorbiaceae. The record is from RNAcentral.
GUAUAAUUUACCCUCAUACUCAACUCCAUUUUCCUCAGUUAAGGCUUGAAUUCAACAUGAUUCCUUUCUUACCUUCAUGAAUGCAAACAAUCCAGCAAGUAAAUGAAGCUAAACAUAUACCCACCCUAUGAAGUACUCAAGUCUCUAAAAGGCUAAACAAUAUAUAGGCACAAACAUAUAAUAAAUACACAUAUAAAAGAAUUAAGAAAUCCUAGAUUAACCCUCAAGAUGGUCUGUCAUAUUCCUACAGUUAUAUGCUUAGAUCCCCCAACAAACAUCCACAAAUUUUACUUUCAAUCUGGUACAUCUUACAAAAUUAUUAUUUCUUACUGAUAACAUUUUUACUAAAUUUUUUGAAAA